Molecule: small RNA, 88 nt
Filed under: Atopomonas hussainii
Lineage: Bacteria; Pseudomonadati; Pseudomonadota; Gammaproteobacteria; Pseudomonadales; Pseudomonadaceae
Description: Pseudomonas hussainii Pseudomonas sRNA P31
Rfam family: Pseudomonas sRNA P31
Source: Rfam by way of RNAcentral
AGAAGGCCUCCCGAAAAGCAUAAGCAAGUCUUUAAGAAAUCGCAGGUUGUAAAAAAGCGGAAUGACAUUUCAGACAACGUCAUCCCGC